This 433-nucleotide ribosomal RNA is filed under the name uncultured bacterium. RNAcentral's name for it is "partial 16S ribosomal RNA". It matches the Rfam family "Bacterial small subunit ribosomal RNA", at positions 29 to 507 of the family's 1533-position model. The record is from RNAcentral.
AGCGAACGCUGGCGGCAGGCCUAACACAUGCAAGUCGAACGAACUCUUCGGAGUUAGUGGCGGACGGGUGAGUAACACGUGGGAACGUGCCUUUUGGUUCGGAAUAACCCAGGGAAACUUGUGCUAAUACCGAAUGUGCCCUUCGGGGGAAAGAUUUAUCGCCAUUAGAGCGGCCCGCGUCUGAUUAGCUAGUUGGUGAGGUAACGGCUCACCAAGGCGACGAUCAGUAGCUGGUCUGAGAGGAUGACCAGCCACACUGGGACUGAGACACGGCCCAGACUCCUACGGGAGGCAGCAGUGGGGAAUCUUGCGCAAUGGGCGAAAGCCUGACGCAGCCAUGCCGCGUGAAUGAUGAAGGUCUUAGGAUUGUAAAAUUCUUUCACCGGGGACGAUAAUGACGGUACCCGGAGAAGAGGCCCCGGCUAACUUCGUG